Molecule: ribosomal RNA, 303 nt
Filed under: uncultured bacterium
Lineage: Bacteria
Description: partial 16S ribosomal RNA
Rfam family: Bacterial small subunit ribosomal RNA
Source: RNAcentral
AGCAGUAGCCGCGGGAAUACAGAGGAUGCAAGCGUUAUCUGGAAUGAUUGGGCGUAAAGCGACUGUAGGUGGCUUUUCAAGUCUGCAGUCAAAUCCCAAGGCUCAACCCUGGACAGGCGGCGGAAACUACCAAGAUGGAGUACGGUAGGGGCGGAGGGAAUUUCCGGUGGAGCGGUGAAAUGCGUUGAGAUCGGAAAGAACACCAACGGUGAAAGCACUCUGCUGGGCCGACACUGACACUGAGAGACGAAAGUUAGGGGAGAAAAUGGGAUUAGAUACCCCCGUAGUCCCUGUCUCUUAUAC